GGCUUUAUAGUCAUAAAUUAUGAUAUUAGACUGCAAUUCUAAAGGAGUAAAAUUUUACUAAAGCUU
Molecule: transfer RNA, 66 nt
Filed under: Hydrotaea spinigera
Lineage: Eukaryota; Metazoa; Arthropoda; Insecta; Diptera; Muscidae
Description: tRNA-Cys
Source: RNAcentral